CCUGGUCUGGCUGGUCCCCUAUACCUGGUCUGACUGGUCCCCUAUACCUGGUCUGACUGGUCCCCUAUACCUGGUCUGGCUGGUCCCCUAUACCUGGUCUGGCUGGUCCCCUAUACCUGGUCUGGUAGGAGAAUGUAGAUUAGGUGUGGACCACUACCGUCUUCGGAGGUCUGAUUGGUUAUACACUUUUGCCCCAGAACACCUGAUUAAACUAAUUUGCAUUCCAAACUGAAGCCCAUGAUUUGUUGAUUAUUGCAGUCAGGUGUGUUAGCUGGGGCUGGAGUGUGUCACCAAUCAGGCUCUGAGGACUGGAGCUUUUGCUACAGAGGAACAUGAGUGCUGUGUACUUUUAUUUAAGUACAUGGUCUCUUUCACAAGCCCUGCAUCUACAAUUUCAUAGAAAAUAUCAAAAAAUAUAAUACAAUAUAAAACCAGUCAAAUACAGCACAACACAAAUACUCAAGAAAAACAAUAAAAUUCCUCAAUAAAAAGGUGCCAGAAUAUCCUAUUGUAAUGUGUUGUGUAGUUGGUUCCAGCAACGAGGUGCUUUAAAACUAAAACGUUUGAUGGAGACCCCAGGAACCUCCAAAAGUUAAGCAACCUUGUGAACGUGUUUGCUUUCACGUUUGAAAAAAUAUUUUCACGGCAACGUUAGGUUACGUCAGAAGCUUGUGUAGUAGUGCUUUGUAAAUAAAGGGGAGUAAAUGAGGUGAUCUUCUGGGCUUUAAUGAGGACCAGCAGGAUGCAGUAGUGAGUAUUAAAACUGUCCCCUGUGAUAAAGCGACGGACGCCAUGGUAGACGGCAUCCAAAGGUUUAAGAGUAGUGGCUGAUGCAUUCUGGUAAAUGGUGUCACCAUAGCCAAGACCUGGCAGGAAAGGUGACUGUACAAUCUGCUUCCUGAGGCAAGAUCUUUUUCUUGUUAAAGAAGCCCACUUUAUAUCUGAGCUCUUUAACUAGCUCAUCUGUAUGUUUUUAAGCAUUAAGUCUGUCAAUCCAAAUGCCCAGAUAUUUAUAGGUGGGAACCCGAUCGAUACGAGAACCAGACAAUUAUUAAAUAUGUAGUCCAACUGAUUUUUUCUUUUUGCGAGAAUUAGAGAACAACGUAAAUAUAGUCUUGCCUGCUUUACGUAUGUUAUGGUAACCAUUGCAUCAUUCUUCUGUUACCAAGGGGAUGAAUGUGAUGUGAAGGGCAUAUAUAAAAAUUUCACCGCAGAUGCAGAAGUGCGACAUCGGCAGAUGUGCGGUGGAUUGAGACUCAUAGCUGCCGAUGUCUCACUUCUGCAUCUGCGGUGAAAGGAGGCAGAGCUACAGCUGUGUUUGUUAGACCAUGAGACGUCCAGAAAAUCAGUCUUCUCACGAAAAUGCCGAACGGUUUGGCCUCCAAAAAUAUUAUGAUCAGAUUCUCACAAACACAUUUGGUGUUCUCCGUUUUGCUCUACGGCCCCCAAAAGAGUCUUGGGACUCGUCUACAUUUGUCUAUCUAGAGCUGUAGUGGGGCUGUGUUGAUGUGUGAGAGAGAGAGAGACGUUGUCUAUCUAGAGCUGUAGUGGGGCUGUGUUGAUGUGAGAGAGAGAGAGAGAGACGUUGUCUAUCUAGAGCUGUAGUGGGGCUGUGUUGACGUGAGAGAGAGAGACGUUGUCUAUCUAGAGCUGUAGUGGGGCUGUGUUGACGUGAGAGAGAGAGAUGUUGUCUAUCUAGAGCUGUAGUGGGGCUGUGUUGAUGUGUGAGAGAGAGAGAGACGUUGUCUAUCUAGAGCUGUAGUGGGGCUGUGUUGACGUGAGAGAGAGAGACGUUGUCUAUCUAGAGCUGUAGUGGGGCUGUGACGAGAGAGAGAGAGACGUUGUCUAUCUAGAGCUGUAGUGGGGCUGUGACGAGAGAGAGAGAGAUGUUGUCUAUCUAGAGCUGUAGUGGGGCUGUGUUGACGUGAGAGAGAGAGACGUUGUCUAUCUAGAGCUGUAGUGGGGCUGUGUUGACGUGAGAGAGAGAGAGAGAGACGUUGUCUAUCUAGAGCUGUAGUGGGGCUGUGCUGUCAUAGGAUUAAAACUAGAUCCUGUCAACAUGCUGCAUUAAAGACAUUCAGAGGCUGACGACCCACACUGGUGUGGUUAUCGACACCUUUACAAUACUCUCAAUACUCUCAAUCUGCUGCAUGUUUUUACACACUUGUUUCAAUUCAUUCACUUGUUAUAAGAGAUUCAAUCUUAUCAAUCUUAGGUAGCCUAGUGGUUAGAGUGUAGAGGUGGCAGGUAGCCUAGUGGUUAGAGUGUAGAGGCGGCAGGUAGCCUAGUGGUUAGAGUGUAGAGGUGGCAGGUAGCCUAGUGGUUAGAGUGUAGAGGUGGCAGGUAGCCUAGUGGUUAGUGUGUAGAGGUGGCAGGUAGCCUAGUGGUUAGAGUGUAGGGGCGGCAGGUAGCCUAGUGGUUAGAGUGUAGGGGCGGCAGGUAGCCUAGUGGUUAGAGUGUAGGGACGGUAGGUAGCCUAGUGCUUAGAGUGUAGGGACGGCAGGUAGCCUAGUGGUUAGAGUGUAGGGGUGGCAGGUAGCCUAGUGGUUAGAGUGUAGGGGUGGCAGGUAGCCUAGUGGUUAGAAUGUAGGGGUGGCAGGUAGCCUAGUGGUUAGAGUGUAGAGGUGGCAGGUAGCCUAGUGGCUAGAGUGUAGGGGUGGCAGGGUAGACUAGUGGUUAGAGUGUAGAGGUGGCAGGUAGCCUAGUGGUUAGAGUGUAGGGGUGGCAGGUAGCCUAGUGGUUAGAGAGUUGGACUAGUAACUGGAAGGUUGCAAGUUCAAAUCCCCAAGCUGACAAGGUAAAAAACUGUCUUUCUGCCCCUGAACAAGGCAGUUAACCCACUGUUUCCUGGUAGGCCGUCAUUGUAAAUAAGAAUUUGUUCUCAACUGACUUGUCUCGUAAAAUAAAAAGCAUGUUCAUUCGUCAUACAAUAGUUGGAACUUGUUUCCGUUUCUAUCUUUUCAACAACUGUCUUGUUUCUUUACACACAUUUUUGAUGGCGGACUGUGCUAGGAGCAGGAGGUACAUCCUGUCUUUUCAAACGUCCAGAGGAUGUUUUGUGUCGAAGCUGAGAGAUAAUCAGAACGCGAGCUGCUCUGUCAGAGGGCCAGGCAGUCGUUUGGUGUUCAACAUCAAACUGAUCCUGUCAGGCCAGGUGUUCAACAUCAAACAUCAAACUGUCCCUGUCAGGCCAGGUGUUCAACAUCAAACUGUUCCUGUCAGGCCAGGUGUUCAACAUCAAACUGAUCCUGUCAGGCCAGGUGUUCAACAUCAAACUGAUCCUGUCAGGCCAGGUGUUCAACAUCAAACUGAUCCUGUCAGGCCUGGUGUUCAACAUCAAACUGAUCCUGUCAGGCCAGGUGUUCAACAUCAAACUGAUCCUGUCAGGCCAGGUGUUCAACAUCAAACUGUUCCUGUCAGGCCAGGUGUUCAACAUCAAACUGUUCCUGUCAGGCCAGGUGAUCAACAUCAAACUGAUCCUGUCAGGCCAGGUGUUCAACAUCAAACUGAUCCUGUCAGGCCAGG
Molecule: long non-coding RNA, 3525 nt
Organism: Oncorhynchus tshawytscha (Chinook salmon)
Lineage: Eukaryota; Metazoa; Chordata; Actinopteri; Salmoniformes; Salmonidae
Source: Ensembl